This 253-nucleotide ribosomal RNA is filed under the name uncultured bacterium. RNAcentral's name for it is "partial 16S ribosomal RNA". It matches the Rfam family "Bacterial small subunit ribosomal RNA", at positions 524 to 776 of the family's 1533-position model. The record is from RNAcentral.
UACAGAGGGUGCUAGUGUUGUUCGGAAUCAUUGGGCGUAAAGGGCGCGUAGGCGGCAUGGCAAGUGGAAGGUGAAAUCCCUCGGCUUAACCGAGGAACUGCCCUCCAAACUGCUUUGCUUGAGGCCGGGAGAGGUGAGUGGAAUUCCCAGUGUAGCGGUGAAAUGCGUAGAUAUUGGGAGGAACACCAGUGGCGAAGGCGGCUCGCUGGACCGGUUCUGACGCUGAGGCGCGAAAGCGUGGGGAGCAAACGGG